Molecule: ribosomal RNA, 634 nt
Filed under: uncultured bacterium
Lineage: Bacteria
Description: bacterial SSU rRNA
Rfam family: Bacterial small subunit ribosomal RNA (bases 1-541)
Source: RNAcentral
CCUACGGGAGGCAGCAGUGGGGAAUUUUGGACAAUGGGGGCAGCCCUGAUCCAGCAAUGCCGCGUGAGUGAAGAAGGCCUUCGGGUUGUAAAGCUCUUUUGUCAGGGAAGAAACGGCCUGUUCUAAUACAGUGGGCUAAUGACGGUACCUGAAGAAUAAGCACCGGCUAACUACGUGCCAGCAGCCGCGGUAAUACGUAGGGUGCAAGCGUUAAUCGGAAUUACUGGGCGUAAAGCGUGCGCAGGCGGUUUUGUAAGUUUGUCGUGAAAUCCCCGGGCUCAACCUGGGAAUGGCGAUGAAGACUGCAAGGCUAGAGUUUGGCAGAGGGGGGUAGAAUUCCACGUGUAGCAGUGAAAUGCGUAGAUAUGUGGAGGAACACCGAUGGCGAAGGCAGCCCCCUGGGUCAAAACUGACGCUCAUGCACGAAAGCGUGGGGAGCAAACAGGAUUAGAUACCCCUGGUAGUCCACGCCCUAAACGAUGUCUACUAGUUGUCGGGUCUUAAAUUGACUUGUACGUACAGCUACGCGUGAGUAGACGCCGCGGGAGGUACGGUCGCGAGAAGUUAAAACGUUAAAAGGUAAAGUUAGUACGGACGUGAGACGUGCCGAACGGACGACGACGAGGGAGGUAGG